CCCUUUGAUGUUCUGGGCUGCACGCGCGCUACACUGAAGCUAUCAACACGUUUUCCCUCCCUGAGAAGGGCGGGUAACCUUUUGAAUCAGCUUCGUGGUAGGGAUCGGGGCUUGCAAUUGUUCCCCGUGAACCAGGAAUUCCUAGUAGACGCGAGUCAUAAGCUCGCAUCGAUUAAGUCCCUGCCCUUUGUACACACCGCCCGUCGCUACUACCGAUUGAACGUUUUAGUGAGGCAUUUGGACCGACGCAUCUCAGUUUAACCGCUGGUUUGUGUUGGAAAGACUUCCAAACUUGAGCGUUUAGAGGAAGUAAAAGUCGUAACA
This 324-nucleotide ribosomal RNA is filed under the name uncultured eukaryote. Its description in RNAcentral is "partial 18S ribosomal RNA". It matches the Rfam family "Eukaryotic small subunit ribosomal RNA", at positions 1470 to 1796 of the family's 1831-position model. The record is from RNAcentral.